RNAcentral lists this ribosomal RNA (51 nucleotides) under Dichelobacter nodosus. RNAcentral describes it as "partial 16S ribosomal RNA". The record is from RNAcentral. Lineage: Bacteria; Pseudomonadati; Pseudomonadota; Gammaproteobacteria; Cardiobacteriales; Cardiobacteriaceae.
UUGAACUGAAGAGUUUGAUUCUGGCUCAGAUUGAACGCUGGCGGCAUGCUU